This 213-nucleotide unclassified non-coding RNA is filed under the name plant metagenome. RNAcentral describes it as "partial contains small subunit ribosomal RNA, internal transcribed spacer 1, and 5.8S ribosomal RNA". The record is from RNAcentral.
UUUCCGUAGGUGAACCUGCGGAAGGAUCAUUCAUAAUAAGUGUUUUAUGGAACUUUUUUUAAUCCAUAUCCACCUUGUGUGCAAUGUCAGGGUUGAUUUUUCUCUCGAGAGGAUCGGCCCCAAACAUCAACUAUAUCUCAACUCUUUGUCUGAAAAAUAUUAUGAAUAAAACAAUUCAAAAUACAACUUUCAACAACGGAUCUCUUGGCUCUC